Molecule: ribosomal RNA, 465 nt
Filed under: uncultured bacterium
Lineage: Bacteria
Description: partial 16S ribosomal RNA
Rfam family: Bacterial small subunit ribosomal RNA
Source: RNAcentral
AAUGAACGUUGGCGGCGUGGAUUAGGCAUGCAAGUCGAGCGAGAACCCCGCAAGGGGGGCCAGCGGCGCAAGGGACAGUAAUGUGUAGAUUAUCUGCCCUCAGGUCCGGGAUAGCUGCGGGAAACUGCAGGUAAUACCGGAUAACAUCUCCGGAUCAAAGGUGUGAUUCCGCCUGAGGAUGAGUCUGCAUCCUAUUAGCUAGUUGGUGGGGUAAUGGCCUACCAAGGCAUUGAUGGGUAGCAGGUGUGAGAGCACGACCUGCGUCAUUGGGACUGAGACACUGCCCAGACACCUACGGGUGGCUGCAGUCGAGAAUCUUCGGCAAUGGGCGCAAGCCUGACCGAGCGACGCCGCGUGUGGGAUGAAGGCCUUCGGGUUGUAAACCACUGUCAGAGGGGAUGAAAUGCAGGUGGGUUCUCCCAUCUGUUUGACAUAGCCUCAGAGGAAGGACGGGCUAAGUUCGUG